GAUGAACGCUAGCGGCAGGCUUAACACAUGCAAGUCGAGGGGCAGCACGAGGUAGCAAUACUUUGGUGGCGACCGGCGCACGGGUGCGUAACGCGUAUGCAACCUACCUUUAACAGGGGCAUAACACUGAGAAAUUGGUACUAAUUCCCCAUAACAUUCGAAAGGACGACUACUUCUUCGGUUUAAAACGGUUAAACCGUCGGGUUAAAGGUUAAAGUAGGUCGGACUAGUCGGUUCGGUUAGUUUAAGUACGUACGUUUAGGGUUU
RNAcentral lists this ribosomal RNA (267 nucleotides) under uncultured bacterium. RNAcentral's name for it is "partial 16S ribosomal RNA". It matches the Rfam family "Bacterial small subunit ribosomal RNA", at positions 28 to 265 of the family's 1533-position model. The record is from RNAcentral.